CACAGGCCAUUCACGUCAACCUCCAGGCAUCCUCCGCGGCGGGCCCGGCCGGGCCGGCGGAGGGGAGCGGAAGCCCACCGGAGCUGGCCCGCCGCUGACCCGCCGCCUCCGGCUGCCUCCUCCCGGGCUCUGGGCCCAGCGCGCCCAGAUGCCGGGCAGGACCCCUCCGCCCGCUGCUGGAACACCAAUAGCAGCCUUGGAGCCUCUGGGCCGGAGGAACGGGGGCCUCCACCGACACCUGCUUCUUCCCUCACUUCGCAGCCUUCCACACCUGUUGAUCUGACCUCUGCCCCGCUGCCGCCAAGGAGUAACCUAAGGCUUUUGGCCUGAUUCGAGCUCACUCCGUCUAAACCUCUAAAUGCGGUGCGAAAAAAUCCUGGGGAAUGUGCCAUGCAAAGCCUGGGCAUUUCAAGUGCUUUUCUGGAUUCUCAUCAACUCCUCUUUACAGGCAUCUUUAUCCGGAAUUCAGCUCGUCCCAAACCCCACGUGGUGUAGCUCUGCUUGUGUUUUUGAAUCCCGGGGCCUCUUUGAAUCAGAAGCCCUUUGUAUAGAGAUAAGUAUCCUUUAGGCCAGAAUCAGCCUCCAUUUUUUUCGCAGUCCCAUUUCCUACCCGUAAUACUUUCUUCUGAUUUUAAAGCCAUUUGAUAGAGAAGGGACAGGGAACAGAACCUUCGCCCCCCGCCUGAGCAGCUGGUAGACUAGAUAUCUUCCAAACAUUAUCUCAUUUACUUCCCUGGAGUUACAAAUAGGUAGAUUUCAUGUCCGUUGAGGGGUGAGAAAGCUGAAACUUUGAGACUUAAGAAUCCUGGCCGAGGUCAGCCUCCUCCGAAGCUUCAUCUCUUGCCACCACUUUCUGGUGCACACCUAGGACAGAUUUCACUCCCUGAGAUCCCAGGAUGAAACCUAUGUUUGCCAAAUACCAGCUACUGUGCCAGAAGAGAUCAUGGAACCAGGUGUGGAAACCUGCUUGAGAAGAGGAGCCAAAACAUCAUAGUUGAACCGUCCUGGAAUAGAAGUGAGUAAGGUGAACCAGGUGUGGUGGCUCAUGCCUGUAAUCCCAGCACUUUGGGAGACCGAGGUGGGAGGAUUGCUUGAGGCCUGGAGUUCAGGAAUAUUCUGGGCAACACAGCAAGAUCCUGUCUCUAUAAAAAAUCCAAAGUUUUUUAAAAUUAAAAAAAAAAAGUGAGUAAGGCAGCUUGAACCGGAAGUGCACAAAACUGCUAUCAAGUUUGCAAGGCUUUUCCCAAUGACUUUGAGGGAUGGAACCUGAAGGAAGCGGGAGGAGGCAAAUAGGGAGGAAAGUGAAAUGAUUUAUAAAUGACUUGCUAAUUUUGUCCAAAGGGAGUAAUGAUAAUUAGGGCAUUCUUCCCACACGAAGAUGACACAAUUGACCCAAUAUCAUUGAGGCAAGCAGUUUGGGCUGUUUUUCCAGUAGUAUGACAGUGACGGUGUGUCAACCCCAGGACCUCACCCACAUUUCUUUGGGACCUAGGAGUGUGGGAAAUAGCAGCCAGAUUUGAGGUACAAAUCAUGGUGUCCAGCCUGCAAAGCCUUUUUGCAGCAAUCUAAGCCUGACUGCUCCUGUUGUAUGGUCAAAGUCAUUUUAAUCUACUUUAGCUUAUUGUAAAAUGUUCAAGAAUUGUAUUUUGUCUUGAAAACCAUGAAUUUUAUUGUUUAUGGGGAGUUAUUUUUUAAGGAGUGCAGGAUUUCAGUUUUGGAUGAUGAAAAAGUUUUGAAGGUGGGUAGUGACAGUGGUCACACAACAUUGUAGAUGUACUUAAUGCCAUUGUACAUUUACAUGGCUUUAAAGUAAACAUGAAAUUUUCUACAUUUGUUUGUUUGAUCAACUGUUAUCCUCCCUAAGGUACUUGAAGUUCUUUCUGACAUUGCCACUGGAACUUACUAUUUAAAUAUUGUUGGUCCUCUUGGAUUCCAUCAGUACUCCAGAGGCUUCCUUCGUUUCUAAUUUAACUCAUCGUGUAAGAAUACGUAAUGCUGUUGUUAGCACUAGGGAAUGUAUCUGAGUCGCAUGCACCAAAGUGUGUUAGCAGCAGCAAAUCUGUAUGGGUCUGCAGCAACCUCAGUUCUUGCCUCCUCCAAAGAAAGAAUUCUACCGAGAGGCAUAAGGCAGAGGGAGAGGCCAAGGCAAGUUUUAGAGCAGGAGUGAAAGUUUAUUAAAAAGUUUUAGAGCAAGAAUGAAACAAAGUAAUGUACACUUGGAAGAGGGCCAAGCGGGCAACUUGAGAGAUUCAAGUGCGCUGCUUGACCUUUGACUUGGGGUUUUAUACGUUGGCAUGCUUCCAGGGGGUUGUGUCCCUUUUUCCCUGAUUCUUCCCUUGAGGUGGGCUGUCUGCAUGUGCGGUGGCCUGCCAGCACUUGGGAGGGACCACAUGCUCAGUGUGUUAACUGAGGUUGUACGCAUGCCCACUUGAGGCAUUCUUCGCUUACUAGUCAAGUGUUCCUAGAAGAAGGUCAUAUAUGAGUACCAGUUAAAUGCCACCAUUUUGCCUCUUAGUGCACACCUGUGAGCCCACUCGGCCAACUCCUAAGAUCCUAUCCAGAAGCUGCUGAUCACCAGUUUUAGGUAUUUUCUAGCCAUUGGGAGACUGCCUUUCCCUGGUGCCGGCUGUGACCAGUUAUUAUUUUAGAGAGACAGUUUAACAACUGCCUGACCACCUGAUGGUUGCGUGACAUUCCUGGUGGGAGCGGGGAGCCCUCUCCUGCUCUGCUCGUGUCUGACUACCUACUGUGGCACUAUAGAAUAAAAUGAGAAAAACUUAAAAUUUGGGACAAUUUUAACAGUUUUAUUGAAGUAUAAUUGAUAUAACAAAGUAUAUUUAAAGUGUUCAGUUUGAUACACACAUAUACACAUAGAUACACCUAUUUAAAAACCCAUCACCACAACAGACAAAGGACAUAUUCAUCAUACCCAAAAGUUUCCUCAUGUAGCCCCUCCCUCCCAGUCUUCCUUACCUCUCCACCCCACCAGGCAACCCCUGAUAUGCUUUAUGUAACUAUACAUUAAUUUUGUAUUUCCUAGAAUUUUAUAUAAUUGGAAUCACACAUUGUAUACUCUGUUUUAUCUGGCUUCUUUCACUCAGCAAAAUUAUUACGAGAUUCACUGACAUUGUAGCAUGUAUCAUUAAUUCAUUCCUUUUAUUACUGAGUAGUAUUCAACUGUAGGGAUACACCAGUGAUUUUACCCAUUCCCUUAUUGAUGAACAUUUUGGUUGUUUCUAGAUUUUGGCUAUUGCAAAUAAAGCUGCUGUGAACAUUCAUGUACAAGUCUUUGUAUGGACAUAUGCUUUAAUUUCUCUCCCAUAAAUACCUAUAAAUGGAAUGGCUGGAUCAAGUGAAAGAUGUAUAUUUCACUUUUUAAGAAACUGCAAACUUUUUCCAAAAUGAUUGUACCAUUUUACAUUCCCACCAGUGCGUAUGAGAGUUCCAGUUCCUCUGCUUCCUCACCAACAGUUGACUCGCCCUGAAUUCUUUCUUGUGUGAAAUCCAAGAACCCUCUCUUGGGGUCGGAUCGGGACCCUGUUCCUGUAACAAGUCCACAAUGCCAGAGAAUUAAAGAGAACCACAAAGCUGAACCUCAAAAAGUUAGCCUGGUGAGGGGAGGAUGAUGAGAUUUCCCCUCUUGUCACAUAAACAAGGAAGUAAAGGAGGCCCCUUGUGCUCUCAGAACUCCAAGCAUGAAACGAUAGCAAAGGGAAAAACAGCUAAGUGUUUCCUGGCUGAAUUUUAUUUUGCUUUCAGUUUCUGCCAUUUCAGUUCCUGUUAUCGUGCUUUGAGGUGCACUGAACUGCAGCAAACCCAGGGGAUCCAAGGCUAUGUUGAAAAGCCUUUGACCACAGUGCAGGGAGCAGAAGACAUUAAUGACGUGAUGUCGACACAGCCCGCACUCAGGAUCCUCCAGGAAAAGAACACAGAGAUAACCCCGGAUCGAUGGUGUUUCCUCAGUUCCUCAAUAAAACGUGCUCAUCAAGCAAGAAAUUUUUGUUGAAGAGCUGGCUUAGGUUGUAACUAUGGGACUGAAAAGGAAAGGGUAGAUAUGAACUAAGUCAAAGGCAGAAUCAAUAGGUGAGGACAAAGGAGAGGAACAGUAAAAGUAAUUUCAAGGAGAGAAGAGGAAGACAAGAGAAAAUUCUGGGGAUAAUGAAACAAAAAAGGCAACCAAUUAUAAUUUGGGUAAGGAAAGAGUGAAAAAGCAAAAAUGAUUCCAAAGUUUGUUGCUUGAGGGACAUGAUAGAAGCUAGUGGGCUAGCAUUAGUUAACUACUCCAGUGCGAAAAGGAGGAGCUAUGUCAAAUUCAUGUUUAAAAUGAGUGGGCAGCAAGAACACAGUUGUAGAUGAUUUGUUUUUAGAGUGCUAGAGGGAUGGGCCCUAACAAAAGAAUGUCGAAGGCGGACAAGAUUUGGGUGUCUGCUCAUUGUGCGCCAGGGCUGAAAUCAUGGGAAGAAACCCCGUGAGGCUCAAACGCUGACCUGUAGGGAGAAGGACAAUUUUCUUUAACACUUACAAUGAUGUUCUUAUUGUUGGUAAAAGGUGCUUAAUACAUUGCUAUCAAAUGCCUUUUGGGGGA
This is a long non-coding RNA of Gorilla gorilla gorilla (western lowland gorilla), 4585 nucleotides long. RefSeq lists it as uncharacterized. The transcript has 5 exons. The record is from RefSeq and is a predicted model, not a curated record. NCBI's taxonomy places the organism in Eukaryota, Metazoa, Chordata, Mammalia, Primates, Hominidae.